This 532-nucleotide ribosomal RNA is filed under the name Djiboutia sp. MNHN IM 2013-18125. RNAcentral describes it as "partial large subunit ribosomal RNA". It matches the Rfam family "Bacterial large subunit ribosomal RNA", at positions 1815 to 2619 of the family's 2925-position model. The record is from RNAcentral. Lineage: Eukaryota; Metazoa; Mollusca; Gastropoda; Littorinimorpha; Velutinidae.
AUGUCUUCUUGAAUUAAUAUAAUAGGAAGUCUAGCCUGCCCUGUGAUAACAAUUUAACGGCCGCGGUACUCUGACCGUGCGAAGGUAGCAUAAUCAUUUGUCUUAUAAUUGAAGUCUGGAAUGAAUGGUUGAACAAGGGUGAGACUGUCUCUAUUUUAGAAGUAAAAUUUUAUUAUUAGGUUAAAAAGCUUAAAUAAAAUUAGAAGACGAGAAGACCCUAUCGAGCUUUAAGUACUUUAUAAAAUUUUUGACAUAUAUGAAAUAAAAAAGUUUAUUAAAAAUUUUGGUUGGGGCGACCUUGGAACAAUAAAAACUUCCAAUAAAAUUUAUGUUUAAUUAAUAUAUGAUCCGUUAACUAACGAUAAUAAAAAUUAGUUACCGUAGGGAUAACAGCAUUAUCUUUUUUGAGAGUUCAAAUCGAAAAAUAGGUUUGUGACCUCGAUGUUGGACCAAAAUAACCUGAAGAUGUAGAAGUCUUUAAAGGUUGGUCUGUUCGACCAUUAAAAUUUUACGUGAUCUGAGUUCAGACCGG